AGAGACUAAAUUAUACGUUUUAAGGUAAAAAGGCAGUUAAAUAUUUAAUUUACUGUAGUUUAUUAAUUUAUUAUAAAAGGGUAAAAUCUACAUAUAAAUAAAUAAACCAAAAUAAACUUGUCAAAUUGACUCUGCGAUAGCCUCGAGGGAAACUGGGAUUAGAUACCCCAUUAUUCUUGGCUGUAAAUUGACGAAAGUUUACCGGAGUACUAUGAAUUAUAUAUCAAAAUUUAAAACUCAAAGGGCUUGGCGGUGUUUUAAACCCCUCAGGGGAACCUGUCUCAUAAUCGACAAUCCGCGUUACACCUAACCUUUUUUUGCAUUUCAGUUUGUAUACCGUCGUCGUCAGGUAACUUUUAAAAAUCUAGAAGUUAGCAACAAAAUAAUUAUAAAUUUAGACGUCAGAUCAAGGUGCAGCCUAUAUGAAGGUGAGGAUGGGUUACAAUUAUCAAUUCAUAAUUACGAAUAUAGUAGUGAAAUAUUUACUUGAUUGAAGGAGGACUUGAAAGUAAAACAAAUUUAUAUAAAUAAUUUGAAUGCGGCUCUGAAACAUGC
This 555-nucleotide ribosomal RNA is filed under the name Fusitriton laudandus. Its description in RNAcentral is "partial 12S ribosomal RNA". Lineage: Eukaryota; Metazoa; Mollusca; Gastropoda; Littorinimorpha; Ranellidae. The record is from RNAcentral.